CCUUUGUACACACCGCCCGUCGCUACUACCGAUUGAAUGGCUCAGUGAGGCAUUCGGACUGGCUCGGGGAGGUUGGCAACGACCACCCCGAGCCGGAAAGUUCUCCAAACUCGGUCAUUUAGAGG
RNAcentral lists this ribosomal RNA (125 nucleotides) under Camarosporidiella elongata. RNAcentral describes it as "partial small subunit ribosomal RNA". It matches the Rfam family "Eukaryotic small subunit ribosomal RNA", at positions 1657 to 1779 of the family's 1831-position model. The record is from RNAcentral. Lineage: Eukaryota; Fungi; Ascomycota; Dothideomycetes; Pleosporales.